UACGUAGGGUGCAAGCGUUAAUCGGAAUUACUGGGCGUAAAGCGCACGUAGGCGGACUAUUAAGUCAGGGGUGAAAUCCCGGGGCUCAACCCCGGAACUGCCUUUGAUACUGGUAGUCUCGAGUCCGGAAGAGGUGAGUGGAAUUCCGAGUGUAGAGGUGAAAUUCGUAGAUAUUCGGAGGAACACCAGUGGCGAAGGCGGCUCACUGGUCCGGUACUGACGCUGAGGUGCGAAAGCGUGGGGAGCAAACAGG
Molecule: ribosomal RNA, 253 nt
Filed under: uncultured bacterium
Lineage: Bacteria
Description: partial 16S ribosomal RNA
Rfam family: Bacterial small subunit ribosomal RNA
Source: RNAcentral